UACAGAGGGUGCAAGCGUUGUUCGGAAUUAUUGGGCGUAAAGGGCGCGUAGGCGGUGCGGUAAGUCUGCAGUGAAAUCUCUGGGCUCAACUCAGAGUCUGCUGUAGAAACUGCCGUGCUUGAGUGUGGGAGAGGUGAGUGGAAUUCCCGGUGUAGCGGUGAAAUGCGUAGAGAUCGGAAAGAACACCAACGGCGAAAGCACUCUGCUGGGCCGACACUGACACUGAGAGACGAAAGCUAGGGGAGCGAAUGGG
This 253-nucleotide ribosomal RNA is filed under the name uncultured bacterium. RNAcentral describes it as "partial 16S ribosomal RNA". It matches the Rfam family "Bacterial small subunit ribosomal RNA", at positions 524 to 776 of the family's 1533-position model. The record is from RNAcentral.